Molecule: ribosomal RNA, 253 nt
Filed under: uncultured bacterium
Lineage: Bacteria
Description: partial 16S ribosomal RNA
Rfam family: Bacterial small subunit ribosomal RNA
Source: RNAcentral
UACGGAGGCCCCAAGCGUUGUUCGGAUUUAUUGGGCGUAAAGGGUGCGUAGGCGGCAUCUUAAGUCUGGUGUGAAAGGCGCGGGCUCAACCUGCGGACUGCAUUGGAUACUGGGAUGCUGGAGGACUGGAGAGGAGAAUGGAAUUCACGGUGGAGCAGUGAAAUGCGUAGAUAUCGUGAGGAAGGCCAGUGGCGAAGGCGAUUCUCUGGACAGUACCUGACGCUGAGGCACGAAGGCUGGGGGAGCGAACAGG